GGUCGAGCGGAGAGAAGAAGCUUGCUACUGAUCUUAGCGGCGGACGGGUGAGUAAUACUUAGGAAUCUGGCUAUUAGUGGGGGACAACAUUUCGAAAGGGAUGCUAAUACCGCAUACGUCCUACGGGAGAAAGCAGGGGAUCUUCGGACCUUGCGCUAAUAGAUGAGCCUAAGUCGGAUUAGCUAGUUGGUGGGGUAAAGGCCUACCAAGGCGACGAUCUGUAGCGGGUCUGAGAGGAUGAUCCGCCACACUGGGACUGAGACACGGCCCAGACUCCUACGGGAGGCAGCAGUGGGGAAUAUUGGACAAUGGGGGGAACCCUGAUCCAGCCAUGCCGCGUGUGUGAAGAAGGCCUUAUGGUUGUAAAGCACUUUAAGCGAGGAGGAGGGUACUGGUAUUAAUACUACCAGGUACUGGACGUUACUCGCAGAAUAAGCACCGGCUAACUCUGUGCCAGCAGCCGCGGUAAUACAGAGGGUGCGAGCGUUAAUCGGAUUUACUGGGCGUAAAGCGUGCGUAGGCGGCUAAUUGAGUCGGAUGUGAAAUCCCCGAGCUUAACUUGGGAAUUGCAUUCGAUACUGGUUAGCUAGAGUGUGGGAGAGGAUGGUAGAAUUCCAGGUGUAGCGGUGAAAUGCGUAGAGAUCUGGAGGAAUACCGAUGGCGAAGGCAGCCAUCUGGCCUAACACUGACGCUGAGGUACGAAAGCAUGGGGAGCAAACAGGAUUAGAUACCCUGGUAGUCCAUGCCGUAAACGAUGUCUACUAGCCGUUGGUCUCUUUGAGGGAUUAGUGGCGCAGCUAACGCGAUAAGUAGACCGCCUGGGGAGUACGGUCGCAAGACUAAAACUCAAAUGAAUUGACGGGGGCCCGCACAAGCGGUGGAGCAUGUGGUUUAAUUCGAUGCAACGCGAAGAACCUUACCUGGUCUUGACAUAGUAAGAACUUUCCAGAGAUGGAUUGUGCCUUCGGGAACUUACAUACAGGUGCUGCAUGCUGUCGUCAGCUCGUGUCGUGAGAAUGUGAUAAGUCCCGCAACGAGCGCAACCCUUU
This 1049-nucleotide ribosomal RNA is filed under the name Acinetobacter sp. mat857. RNAcentral describes it as "bacterial SSU rRNA". It matches the Rfam family "Bacterial small subunit ribosomal RNA", at positions 60 to 1107 of the family's 1533-position model. Lineage: Bacteria; Pseudomonadati; Pseudomonadota; Gammaproteobacteria; Moraxellales; Moraxellaceae. The record is from RNAcentral.